UGUCGUCAAAAAAAAUAAAAAUCAAUCAGAUUCAAGAAAAACAAAUCCGGUUCAAUAUUUUAUUAAGAUGGAUCCCUGUCCUCAUCUUUAUCUGAAUAGAUGUGUUAUGUCCCUAUAAGCUACUACGUCGAUCUUUAUGUGUCUUGGCCGUGCCCCGUUCCGCUCUGAAGAGCUGAAGGAGGUUUGGAUCUUUCAAUCUUAUAUUCUUAUGUGGUAAGGGAUGUGAUCUAUCUCGUGCUAGAAAGAGUUGACUGAAUCGAAGCACAUGAGAAGGCAAAUAGACCCCUUCACCACCGAGUCUUGCAAUUCCCUUGCUUGAAUAAAGCCGCCUCUAGACUAGCAACUCAUUUCCGUCAUUUCUAAGUGAAUUCAUUUAAGUUGUUAGAGCAAUGAAGCUGAAAGGUGAAUUGAGAAGAUCGAGUGCGCACUAAUGAGUUUGAACUCAUGAGGUUUAAUCUAACUUGCAGCUUCCCUGUAAUAAGCAUCAGUUGUUCGAUUCGGGAUGAAGUUUAGAUGCUCAAAGCUCAAGAAGUGUGAGAGACAUCCUUGCAUGAAAAGAUGUCAAUAGAUAGUAAGGAUAGUUAGUGCUACCCGUUGUUGUCGAUAAAGAAGCUUGAAUUGUCUUACAUAGUUUUUUUUUUU
This is a long non-coding RNA of Spinacia oleracea (spinach), 642 nucleotides long. RefSeq lists it as uncharacterized. Lineage: Eukaryota; Viridiplantae; Streptophyta; Magnoliopsida; Caryophyllales; Amaranthaceae. The transcript is spliced from 2 exons. The record is from RefSeq and is a predicted model, not a curated record.